This 115-nucleotide ribosomal RNA is filed under the name Bacillus licheniformis. The record is from RNAcentral. Lineage: Bacteria; Bacillati; Bacillota; Bacilli; Caryophanales; Bacillaceae. RNAcentral also lists the same sequence under 1 other name.
UUGGUGGCGAUAGCGAAGAGGUCACACCCGUUCCCAUGCCGAACACGGAAGUUAAGCUCUUCAGCGCCGAUGGUAGUUGGGGGCUUCCCCCUGUGAGAGUAGGACGCCGCCAAGC